This 77-nucleotide transfer RNA is filed under the name Succinivibrio sp. Its description in RNAcentral is "tRNA-Met". It matches the Rfam family "tRNA". Rfam says of the family: Transfer RNA (tRNA) molecules are approximately 80 nucleotides in length. Their secondary structure includes four short double-helical elements and three loops (D, anti-codon, and T loops). Further hydrogen bonds mediate the characteristic L-shaped molecular structure. tRNAs have two regions of fundamental functional importance: the anti-codon, which is responsible for specific mRNA codon recognition, and the 3' end, to which the tRNAs corresponding amino acid is attached (by aminoacyl-tRNA synthetases). tRNAs cope with the degeneracy of the genetic code in two manners: having more than one tRNA (with a specific anti-codon) for a particular amino acid; and 'wobble' base-pairing, i.e. permitting non-standard base-pairing at the 3rd anti-codon position. RNAcentral also lists the same sequence under 1 other name. The record is from RNAcentral. Lineage: Bacteria; Pseudomonadati; Pseudomonadota; Gammaproteobacteria; Aeromonadales; Succinivibrionaceae.
UGCGGGGUGGAGCAGUCUGGUAGCUCGCAAGAUUCAUUAUCUUGAGGUCGUUGGUUCAAAUCCUUCUCCCGCAACCA